UCCAGAGGGACAGAACUCACAGGAUGUGAGUUUGUUAGCGAGAAUUAGCUUUCGUGAUUACAAAGAUGAAGCCCCAUGAUAAGCCAUCUGCAAGCUGGAGAGUGACAAAAGCUGGUCUUCAAUUGAUUGGAUAAGACCCGUCCAUGUUUGGAAAGCAAUAUGCUUUAUUCAGUUUAUCAGUUCAAGUGUGAAUCUCACCCAGAAAAACUAUCACAGACAUACCCAGAAUAAUGUUUGACCAAAUAUCUGGGCACCCAUUCAAGUUGACAUGUAAAAUUAUCCAUCACAAGUAAUGAGAAAGUUAAGGUCACAAAAGUAGAUGAAGAUUUUCAGUCUGACUGAAA
Microcebus murinus (gray mouse lemur) is the source of this 344-nucleotide long non-coding RNA. RefSeq lists it as uncharacterized. The record is from RefSeq and is a predicted model, not a curated record. NCBI's taxonomy places the organism in Eukaryota, Metazoa, Chordata, Mammalia, Primates, Cheirogaleidae.